RNAcentral lists this ribosomal RNA (2903 nucleotides) under Escherichia coli O111:H-. RNAcentral describes it as "23S ribosomal RNA". It matches the Rfam family "Bacterial large subunit ribosomal RNA". The record is from RNAcentral. Lineage: Bacteria; Pseudomonadati; Pseudomonadota; Gammaproteobacteria; Enterobacterales; Enterobacteriaceae.
UUAAGCGAAUAAGCGUACACGGUGGAUGCCCUGGCAGUCAGAGGCGAUGAAGGACGUGCUAAUCUGCGAUAAGCGUCGGUAAGGUGAUAUGAACCGUUAUAACCGGCGAUUUCCGAAUGGGGAAACCCAGUGUGAUUCGUCACACUAUCAUUAACUGAAUCCAUAGGUUAAUGAGGCGAACCGGGGGAACUGAAACAUCUAAGUACCCCGAGGAAAAGAAAUCAACCGAGAUUCCCCCAGUAGCGGCGAGCGAACGGGGAGGAGCCCAGAGCCUGAAUCAGUGUGUGUGUUAGUGGAAGCGUCUGGAAAGGCGCGCGAUACAGGGUGACAGCCCCGUACACAAAAAUGCACAUGCUGUGAGCUCGAUGAGUAGGGCGGGACACGUGGUAUCCUGUCUGAAUAUGGGGGGACCAUCCUCCAAGGCUAAAUACUCCUGACUGACCGAUAGUGAACCAGUACCGUGAGGGAAAGGCGAAAAGAACCCCGGCGAGGGGAGUGAAAAAGAACCUGAAACCGUGUACGUACAAGCAGUGGGAGCACAGAGCAAUCUGUGUGACUGCGUACCUUUUGUAUAAUGGGUCAGCGACUUAUAUUCUGUAGCAAGGUUAACCGAAUAGGGGAGCCGAAGGGAAACCGAGUCUUAACUGGGCGUUAAGUUGCAGGGUAUAGACCCGAAACCCGGUGAUCUAGCCAUGGGCAGGUUGAAGGUUGGGUAACACUAACUGGAGGACCGAACCGACUAAUGUUGAAAAAUUAGCGGAUGACUUGUGGCUGGGGGUGAAAGGCCAAUCAAACCGGGAGAUAGCUGGUUCUCCCCGAAAGCUAUUUAGGUAGCGCCUCGUGAAUUCAUCUCCGGGGGUAGAGCACUGUUUCGGCAAGGGGGUCAUCCCGACUUACCAACCCGAUGCAAACUGCGAAUACCGGAGAAUGUUAUCACGGGAGACACACGGCGGGUGCUAACGUCCGUCGUGAAGAGGGAAACAACCCAGACCGCCAGCUAAGGUCCCAAAGUCAUGGUUAAGUGGGAAACGAUGUGGGAAGGCCCAGACAGCCAGGAUGUUGGCUUAGAAGCAGCCAUCAUUUAAAGAAAGCGUAAUAGCUCACUGGUCGAGUCGGCCUGCGCGGAAGAUGUAACGGGGCUAAACCAUGCACCGAAGCUGCGGCAGCGACGCUGAUGCGUUGUUGGGUAGGGGAGCGUUCUGUAAGCCUGUGAAGGUGUGCUGUGAGGCAUGCUGGAGGUAUCAGAAGUGCGAAUGCUGACAUAAGUAACGAUAAAGCGGGUGAAAAGCCCGCUCGCCGGAAGACCAAGGGUUCCUGUCCAACGUUAAUCGGGGCAGGGUGAGUCGACCCCUAAGGCGAGGCCGAAAGGCGUAGUCGAUGGGAAACAGGUUAAUAUUCCUGUACUUGGUGUUACUGCGAAGGGGGGACGGAGAAGGCUAUGUUGGCCGGGCGACGGUUGUCCCGGUUUAAGCGUGUAGGCUGGUUUUCCAGGCAAAUCCGGAAAACUAAGGCUGAGGCGUGAUGACGAGGCACUACGGUGCUGAAGCAACAAAUGCCCUGCUUCCAGGAAAAGCCUCUAAGCAUCAGGUAACAUCAAAUCGUACCCCAAACCGACACAGGUGGUCAGGUAGAGAAUACCAAGGCGCUUGAGAGAACUCGGGUGAAGGAACUAGGCAAAAUGGUGCCGUAACUUCGGGAGAAGGCACGCUGAUAUGUAGGUGAAGUCCCUCGCGGAUGGAGCUGAAAUCAGUCGAAGAUACCAGCUGGCUGCAACUGUUUAUUAAAAACACAGCACUGUGCAAACACGAAAGUGGACGUAUACGGUGUGACGCCUGCCCGGUGCCGGAAGGUUAAUUGAUGGGGUCAGCGCAAGCGAAGCUCUUGAUCGAAGCCCCGGUAAACGGCGGCCGUAACUAUAACGGUCCUAAGGUAGCGAAAUUCCUUGUCGGGUAAGUUCCGACCUGCACGAAUGGCGUAAUGAUGGCCAGGCUGUCUCCACCCGAGACUCAGUGAAAUUGAACUCGCUGUGAAGAUGCAGUGUACCCGCGGCAAGACGGAAAGACCCCGUGAACCUUUACUAUAGCUUGACACUGAACAUUGAGCCUUGAUGUGUAGGAUAGGUGGGAGGCUUUGAAGUGUGGACGCCAGUCUGCAUGGAGCCGACCUUGAAAUACCACCCUUUAAUGUUUGAUGUUCUAACGUUGACCCGUAAUCCGGGUUGCGGACAGUGUCUGGUGGGUAGUUUGACUGGGGCGGUCUCCUCCUAAAGAGUAACGGAGGAGCACGAAGGUUGGCUAAUCCUGGUCGGACAUCAGGAGGUUAGUGCAAUGGCAUAAGCCAGCUUGACUGCGAGCGUGACGGCGCGAGCAGGUGCGAAAGCAGGUCAUAGUGAUCCGGUGGUUCUGAAUGGAAGGGCCAUCGCUCAACGGAUAAAAGGUACUCCGGGGAUAACAGGCUGAUACCGCCCAAGAGUUCAUAUCGACGGCGGUGUUUGGCACCUCGAUGUCGGCUCAUCACAUCCUGGGGCUGAAGUAGGUCCCAAGGGUAUGGCUGUUCGCCAUUUAAAGUGGUACGCGAGCUGGGUUUAGAACGUCGUGAGACAGUUCGGUCCCUAUCUGCCGUGGGCGCUGGAGAACUGAGGGGGGCUGCUCCUAGUACGAGAGGACCGGAGUGGACGCAUCACUGGUGUUCGGGUUGUCAUGCCAAUGGCACUGCCCGGUAGCUAAAUGCGGAAGAGAUAAGUGCUGAAAGCAUCUAAGCACGAAACUUGCCCCGAGAUGAGUUCUCCCUGACUCCUUGAGAGUCCUGAAGGAACGUUGAAGACGACGACGUUGAUAGGCCGGGUGUGUAAGCGCAGCGAUGCGUUGAGCUAACCGGUACUAAUGAACCGUGAGGCUUAACCU